Molecule: long non-coding RNA, 907 nt
Filed under: Rattus norvegicus (Norway rat)
Lineage: Eukaryota; Metazoa; Chordata; Mammalia; Rodentia; Muridae
Description: long non-coding RNA NONRATT000044
Source: RNAcentral
GUGAACUCCUGGGUUCCCAGUCUGAGCUUUCCAGGUAUUGAUGCUUCACAGGCACUGCUACAUACUGCUGAGGGAAACAUGUCCUGCGUGACUUUACUGGGAAAAUUCCUAGCAAAAAUUUUGUGCCUGAUUUCCUCUGGACGUGUGCUGAAUAGACUUCCACAAGAGUUGUGCACACACAUUCCUGAAAUCCUUCUCUGCUUCCUGCCCUUGGAAUCUAACUGCCUCAGCCUAGAGGAAUUCUAAUCAUUCCCUGCUCACCCAAGGACCGCUGGCCCUGUUUAUCUUGUCAUUACCUAGAAAUUCCUUCUUAUCAGAAGGCGCAUCUCUUUCAUUGUCCCUUUUCCCCUCGUCCUUCACUACUUAUAGAGGAAUAUUUAAAAGAAACACAGAGGGGAUGAAUUCACUCGAAAAUUGUUGUAUGAAAUUCUCAAGGAGUUAAAACCAUGUUUCAAAAGAACAAAAUGUGGACAGCAUGCUGCCAUUUGCUUAAGGAAGUGAGAUAGAGAAAUGCACCGAAGGAUUUCUGGAGGCGUCCAGGCUGCUUCUUGCUACUUCAGCAGACUGGUGCCCACUGGUGGGGCCUCUCGGGUUCUUCUGGACAGAGCCACUGCUGCUGGUUUGAGUGGAUUGUUGAUAAGGAAGAAUGGAAACACUCCAAAGAAUGACUUCUCAACAGACUCAUCUAAACAGGGAAAUUUAAGAAGCACACGUAAAACAGCCUGGUGAUGUCCGGAUGUUACCAUGCCAUUCACUAGAAAAUGGACUUGGUGACGGUUUUAAAGGUAUUGGAGGGACAGACGAGUCUCCCAGGCUUCCAGUUUGCUUGGGAGUACAAUAAAGUUAUUAAAAAAGGACGUUAUAAUUUGGAAACUAUCAAUAAAAUGCUGUAACAAAUUUAAGAAUU